Molecule: ribosomal RNA, 376 nt
Filed under: uncultured bacterium
Lineage: Bacteria
Description: bacterial SSU rRNA
Rfam family: Bacterial small subunit ribosomal RNA
Source: RNAcentral
UAAGACGAACUGUCCAAACGUUGUUCGGAAUCACUGGGCUUAAAGGGCGCGUAGGCGGUCCGGUAAGUCAGGGGUGAAAUCCCACAGCUUAACUGUGGAAGUGCCUUUGAUACUGCCGGUCUGGAGGGAGAUAGGGGUGUGCGGAACUUCCAGUGGAGCGGUGAAAUGCGUUGAUAUUGGAAGGAACGCCGGAGGCGAAAGCGGCGCACUGGAUCUCUUCUGACGCUGAGGCGCGAAAGCUAGGGGAGCAAACGGGAUUAGAUACCCCGGUAGUCCUAGCCCUAAACGAUGAGUACUAGAUUGUAGACUGAUCAUGGGUUUACAGUCGAAGCAAAAGUGUUAAGUACUCCGCCUGGGGAGUAUGGUCGCAAGGCUG